AUUGAACGCUGGCGGCAGGCCUAACACAUGCAAGUCGAACGAGUGGCGGACGGGUGAGUAAUGUCUGGGAAACUGCCUGAUGGAGGGGGAUAACUACUGGAAACGGUAGCUAAUACCGCAUACCAUCGGAUGUGCCCAGAUGGGAUUAGCUAGUAGGUGGGGUAAAGGCUCACCAAGGCGACGAUCCCUAUCUGGUCUGAGAGGAUGACCAGCAACACUGGAACUGAGACACGGGCCAGACUCCUACGUGAGGCAGCAGUGGGGAAUAGUGCACAAUGGGCGCAAGCCUGAUGCAGCCAUGCCGCGUGUAUGAAGAAGGCCUUCGGGUUGUAAAGUACUUUCAGCGGGGAGGCGUUACCCGCAGAAGAAGCACCGGCGAACUCCGUGCCAGCAGCCGCGGUAAUUC
Molecule: ribosomal RNA, 406 nt
Filed under: uncultured bacterium
Lineage: Bacteria
Description: partial 16S ribosomal RNA
Rfam family: Bacterial small subunit ribosomal RNA
Source: RNAcentral